GAGAGACCUAUGAAGGAAAAAGUAAUUGGCAACCGAACUGUCCAGAGAAAAAAUGCCGUUGGCUGGAAGCAUUUUGCAUGGUCGGCCCAAUGAAAGACGUUCCAGAGGUUUUAUAUCGAAUUUCUAGUAGGUAUAAACGUAUCGCAGGCGUUAACUGCAUGAAGCGGAUGUACAUAACAUCAACUAGGGUGGCAACGCGGGUAAAACUCUCGUCCCUUAU
RNAcentral lists this non-coding RNA (220 nucleotides) under Virgibacillus pantothenticus. RNAcentral's name for it is "T-box sequence". It matches the Rfam family "T-box leader". From Rfam's summary of the family: Uncharged tRNA acts as the effector for transcription antitermination of genes in the T-box leader family. T-boxes are found upstream of many aminoacyl-tRNA synthetase genes and some amino acid biosynthetic genes usually in Gram-positive bacteria. The record is from RNAcentral. Lineage: Bacteria; Bacillati; Bacillota; Bacilli; Caryophanales; Bacillaceae.